UACGUAGGGUGCAAGCGUUAAUCGGAAUUACUGGGCGUAAAGCGUGCGCAGGCGGUGAUGUAAGACAGGUGUGAAAUCCCCGGGCUUAACCUGGGAACUGCAUUUGUGACUGCAUCGCUGGAGUGCGGCAGAGGGGGAUGGAAUUCCGCGUGUAGCAGUGAAAUGCGUAGAUAUCUGGAGGAACAUCAGUGGCGAAAGCGACUUCCUGGACCAAUACUGACGCUCAUGUGCGAAAGCGUGGGGAGCAAACAGG
This 253-nucleotide ribosomal RNA is filed under the name uncultured bacterium. RNAcentral's name for it is "partial 16S ribosomal RNA". It matches the Rfam family "Bacterial small subunit ribosomal RNA", at positions 524 to 776 of the family's 1533-position model. The record is from RNAcentral.